AGUCGGAUGUGAAAUCCCCGGGCUCAACCUGGGAACUGCAUUCGAAACUGUCUGACUAGAGUUUGGUAGAGGGAAGUGGAAUUCCACAUGUAGCGGUGAAAUGCGUAGAUAUGUGGAGGAACAUCAGUGGCGAAGGCGGCUUCCUGGACUAAAACUGACACUGAGGCGCGAAAGCGUGGGGAGCAAACAGGAUUAGAUACCCUGGUAGUCCACGCUGUAAACGAUGAGAACUAGACGUUGGAAGGUUUUACCUUUUAGUGUCGCAGCUAACGCACUAAGUUCUCCGCCUGGGGAGUACGGUCGCAAGACUAAAACUCAAAGGAAUUGACGGGGGGCCCGCACAAGCGGUGGAGUAUGUGGUUUAAUUCGAUGCAACGCGAAAAACCUUACCUGCUCUUGACAUCUAGAGAACCCCGCAGAGAUGUGGGGGUGCCGCAAGGAACUCUAAGACAGGUGCUGCAUGGCUGUCGUCAGCAUGCGUGUCGUUGAGAUAUUGGGGUAAGUCUCCCUGACAGAGCGCGAAACCUGUCUCUAUAGUUGCACACCAUUUAGUUGGCCAUUUUAAGGAGACUGCCGGUGACAAACCGGAGGAAGGUGGGGAUGACGUCAUCUAAUUAUCAUCCCCUAUAGUGACACAGGGUAAACAACAGUAAUACCAAUGGCCCGGUACAGAGGGUCGCCAACCCGCGAGGGGGAGCCAAUCUCACAAAGCCGGUCGUAGUCCGGAUCGGAGUCUGCA
Molecule: ribosomal RNA, 739 nt
Filed under: uncultured bacterium
Lineage: Bacteria
Description: bacterial SSU rRNA
Rfam family: Bacterial small subunit ribosomal RNA
Source: RNAcentral